CGACGCAGACGCACGCGUUCUUUUUGGAGACUUUCUCAAAGGCAAGGGAAAAAUUCAGCGAAGGAUGUAUGGAGGAAGCUCUUGCAAAACUGCCCAAGUUGAAAGAUGUGGAAUCACCUAAAGUGCCAUCAUCAGUUCUGUGGCGGAACAUUUUUUUUUAAAAAAGGGACAUGUGAGUUUCAGGAUUCAAAUGAAUCAAUGAAGAAAUAGCAGGAUUCUUGCACCAGAUCGAUGAAAAAGAGGAGUCACGUAAACCUAAGAAAAAUUGAGCAGGUUGUUAAAAGCACAUCCAGUAAAUGUAGAGGAGAGUGGUGGUUGGCACUGGUGAUGAAAGAAGCUGCAUCACAUUUUUCUGGGAUUGCUGGUCCAGAAAGAUAAUGGUGCCUUUUCUCUUACUGGUCCAUAAUCAACAACUUCCAGGCAUCAACCAUCUCUCCCGAUGAAAUCAUCAACAUUUCCCGUGAUGGCCCUGACUUCAAGAACAGUGAUGGCUCGGUGGCCCCACGCUUCUGCAGAGUCAUUUGCAAAAGUGAAGCCAGCAAACGUAAAUUCAUCUCCACAGUAAACUCCCUCACCAAAAGCUGCACAAACCAUAAGAAACUUCGUUCACGGCCCGACCUGUUCAUCCUACAACAUGCCUGCGCCUGCGAGCUCCGCUCUGAGCUCAAAAGACGCCAGGACCAAGGAGAGAUUAACCUGUACAUAGACUACCGCGGUAACUGCAUCAAACACAAGACCAGAUCCUGCGUCUCAACAAUUGCCCCCAACAACCAGAACUAGGAAUGCAUGCCCCCAACUUCCUCCAGGUCAACCCCUACUGACCUCAAAUGCAAGCUACUUAAUGCAAGAAGCCUCACAUACAAAAUACCCGAAUUCCUCCUGCUACUAAAUGCAACUGUAUUCGACCUUAUUUUUGUCUGAGAUGUGGUUAAAUGUAUCCUUUCCAGACUCCAUUAUUACAAUUCUCGACUGCCGUGUGAUGUUUACGAGCAGUAUGUUGCCUGGAAGUUAAUUUGAAUUCAAUGUUGAUGCUCAAUAAAUAAUUUGCACUAUAGCAACAUUAAA
This is a long non-coding RNA of Pantherophis guttatus, 1065 nucleotides long. RefSeq lists it as uncharacterized. NCBI's taxonomy places the organism in Eukaryota, Metazoa, Chordata, Lepidosauria, Squamata, Colubridae. The record is from RefSeq and is a predicted model, not a curated record.